AUCAAAUAAUGUUACCGUACAUUGUCAUGAUUUUACUUUAUUUUUAGAUGGACAUGGAGAUGGACAUUUUUCCUGGGACUACCUCCUUGAUGGUAUGCCCCAAAAAGGACAGUUCCACAUAAAAAGACCUGCAGUUGACCAAGAUCCGCUUGACGUACAUCUAUAACACUAACACACUUAUUAGAACCAUGUUAUAUAUAAUCAUUAUUAAAUACACGGUAUUUGGUACGGUUUCGAUUGGAAUUGGUUCAAAAAUAUAUAUAGGCAAUGGGAAAGCAGACAUUAGAAAAUGCGUGAUAUGGUGUAGGCGUUAUUUCGAGAAAUAAUGAGAACAAAAGUUUCUUUACGCUUAUGACGUGGUGAAAGUGGUCCGUGACAAUUUAUCUAUAAGUAUUGACUCUUAUAAUGUAAAUAUUCAUCACAGCCAAAUAUAUUUUCUGCAAAUGUGUUUGUUAGAUAUUAUAUAAUUAUAUAUAUUCAUAUAUAUUCUUAUAUGUAUGUGUGGGAUAGUAUAUGGAUUUUCCGGAAAACCCUCGUAUAUCGUGUGGUAAAAAAGAAAGAUUACAAUGCCAACAUUUGGUCAAAAUGGCUUAGAAAUAACAUGAUAUCGAAGAUUAUGUUUUCAUUAGAAAUGAUUCAUGUUGUCAUGAACAUUAAAUAUGUUCGAAAGAUAAUGUCAUCUAGUAAAAAAUCUAAUCGUUUGAAUUUAGAAAAAUACGAGUGUAAUUAUAUGCUUUUUAUACCCUUCAAUAUUACUGUAAUCUGAUGUUAUAAUAUUUAUUUAUCCUAAUAAGAACAUUAAUCUGACGAUAUUUAAUGUAUAAAUCAUAUUUUCAUAGGUCUUGUUUCAUGUACGUAAUUCACCUAUUAAUCAAGAAAUUAAUUCGUCAUAAAAAUGAGCAGAAACUGAACAUUACCCCAAUCUGAAAUUUAUUGCCUUACCUUCAUACAAUAUUCUAAUCAUAACAGUUUUUACACAAUGUUUCAAGCAGAUGAAUAACAAAAACUUGUUAUCAUAAUAGGUUUUUACUGGAAUAUCAGUAGUCUCAGCAGUGGGGUUAGAUAAAUAAAACAAUGAAUUGUGACUAAAGCUGGUGGUCUUAAAUGUGGAUAAGUGGGGUAGUCUUAAUUGUGGAUCAUGUAACCAUUAACAUUACAAACAGAAAAUUCUGUUCUUUUAAAAAAUGGGACUAAUUAGAGGGUUGGUCUUAAUUCUGGUGUGGUCUUAAGUAGGGAUUCUACUGUAGCGUAUUCUGCAAUUUCAGAUGAACGCAGUAGAAUCGUCUUGAGUGCGCAAUGAUCGCCGUGACAGUGCCGUAGAGUCGCAGAAAAAGAAAGCGCCGUACACACGCAGUAUAAACGCUAUAGAGACGCCGUACAAUCUCCGUACAAGCGCCGUGGCUAAUUACGGCGUUUAUUCGGCGAUCCUUCAGCGCUUUCACGGCGCUCUUGUUGCGUUGUAAGAGAUGUUACUGAGUUGCUACGGCGUCCUUACUACGAUCCCACAGCGCUCUUUUCAGAACGCCGAGUGAAUGCGUUUGUUUUGAGCAUUCUCAAAAUGCGCGCCAUCGGUCGGCGUUCUAUGCGAUGACACUGCGAUGCUAUAGCGAUUCUGCGGCGAUGUUUGCGAUCCUACUGCGCUCACCCUGGCGUUCUGAAUUUUCUUUGGACGCUGUGAGAACGCCGCCCUAGUGUGACAGGGGUUUAACUUAAAGAGAAACACGGUUCAUUAUACAAUUUGCUAUUGUAUUCAACACUUUUUUGUACCAUAGAUACUUAAAUGCUUACUGAACAUGGAUUCAAUUCGUUAGUGUUAAAAUUAAAGACAGAAGAGUUAUUAUUGCCUCUGCACUAAUACUAACCAUUUGUAUAUAUGGGAUGUGUAUUGUUUUUUGCUGUUGUUUUUUUACAUCAUUUCUUGCUAUAAACAAUUGUGCAUUGCCAUUGUCGUUUUACUUUACUUUAAAUAAAAACUACCGAAUAUGUAAAAAAAAAUUAUCACACUCUGUAUGCAAAAAUAAAAAUAAUUGUUAACUAUGACCUUCUAUGGAAAUUUACAAUCAUUUACAUGUGUAAUGUAUGUCAUGUAUUAUAGUUUGCAUAUAUAAAAAGUAACAGCUAUUAUGUCUGUAACUUAUUGAAUUUAUUGUUAAUAUCGAUGUGAAUAAUUAUGCCAUACUUUUGUCAUGUAUGUUAAUCUUUUCACUGUAACAACGUAUUGGCGAACUUGUAUAUAUGUUUGUGCAAAAUAAAUCACGGGAAUAUAGUUUUAAUAAAAAA
Molecule: long non-coding RNA, 2280 nt
Organism: Ruditapes philippinarum (Manila clam)
Lineage: Eukaryota; Metazoa; Mollusca; Bivalvia; Venerida; Veneridae
Exons: 2
Source: RefSeq, a predicted model, not a curated record